UCAUACAUCUCACAGCCCAUACAUCCAUCGCAUGUCAUACAGCCAUGGCAAGUGCUUUCACAGGGAUGGAUCCGCCUGCGAGAUUGAUUUCUGUUCUACACAGUUUAGGUUUUUUUCCAUGUUAAAACUAGACUCAAGUACACAUGUUUACAGAUGGCAAUUGGCAAAAAAAAUUACCAAGGGGUAUCCUGCAUCCUGCACUUGUAUAACUAUGGCAAAAAAGAAAACACAAACCAUACAGGACCCUAGAGUAUGUUUCCACUUGUGCUGAGAUGUAGAAGAUGUAGAUGAAAGUGCCAUUGCAGUAUUUAUGUAGAAUAAAAUACAAUUGCAGUAUAUGCUAGCAACAGGUUGCAGUAUAUAUGUAGAACAAUAACCCUUCCAGAAUGUCAUCAAAUAACUACCAUUUCUGUCUUCAUGAUUUUUGCCAUUCAAUAGUUGCAUAUGGGGAAUUCAAAAAGCACGGUUGGCGAACAUCAACCUGAAGAUGACGUAACUACAGGUAUGAUGCACUCUACCAUGUUUUCGUUUAGUUGCGAGACCUGAAUAUAUGACAGUAUGCAUAAUGUCUUCCAGGUCUUACACGCGGGAGAAGUGAUGCAGAACACAAUGCGAGCAUCAUACCCGUAGCUGAAAUUGUUGAUAACGUCUACUCGACGGAAUCAGGUAUAAUACUGUCCGGAGAUUGGUUAUAAAUGUUGCUUCACGUCCAUUUCUGAAAGUGGCAGAAUGCAUUAUGUGUUGCAGUCCUUACGGGCGGGAUAAAUGUUGGAGACUACAAUGCAAACUUCAUACCCUUACAUGCAGGUAUAAGACUGUGUCAAGAUUGCUGCUAAUGUUUCGUGCAUACCGUAUAUUUUGUUGAUUGCUAAGAUGUAGGGCAGGAACCUUCAAACGACGGGAUUUCGUCGUAUUCUGAGAAUAAUAAGGAUGGUACGACUAAGCUACGAGAUGAUACUCAAGGUAUUCACAGGCAUGCUUAUACAGCUUCCAAAUCGACAUCUCCCAGAUGAGCUUAAUGGGCUUUGUGGUUUUUACGCUUAACGUAAUGCAGAUGACAAAACUUCCGAGCAGCACGCAACAGUAGCUGUAUUUAAUGAAGAAAAAAAAUGUUGGCGAAACAAGGGAGCAGUUCAACGCACAGAGGUGUGAAUCUUAUCGGAAGAAAAAAGAGGAGGAUAUGGUCAGGUUACAAGAGUAUAAUCAGCCAUCCCUUUCAAAGACUGGUAAGUAUUUAAGCGUGAUUUUGUUGAGUACUCUUGGUUUUUUCUGAAUACUUAAAUUAAUCGUUAUAGUAACCUGACUUCAUAGAUGUUCCCCGUGUUGGUUUCAUAGAUGUUGUAUCAACAUCGAUACUUUUUUUGUUCUCUAACUCUCAUACCUAUUGUAAAAAUGGUAGAUCAUAGGGAUCUUAUCAACGCGUGGAGGCGGGCAUCUUAUCGCACUAAGAAGUCAGAUGGUUUUAUAAACCAUCUAGACGAUGGGCCGAUUGUUCACCGCCGUACUCUAUGUGAUAUCACAAAUGUUCAACAACCUUCAUAUGUGAUCCCUGGUACUUAUUUGGUAGAUUUACAAUGUCGUUAAUUAUAUGUGCGUAUUUGACAAUCAUACUAUUUGUGAUUAUGUUUAACUUCUCUUUGCUUUCUGAACGCCCGUGGUGGAUAACUAUAGGAACUAAUGUUGGGGCAGCUAAUCAAACCCACGCGAGAUGAUAAGCACAGGAAAGUUGAUCUUCGUCCCCUUUGUAAUCCAAGUAAGAUUAUUUUAUGUUACAUCCUAGCAUUCAUGGUUCAGCCAUUUUAAUAAAUACUAACCAAGCAUGUUAUAUCAGAUGACCCAGCUAGCUCGGUUGAUACAUCAAUCUCGCAUAAUGAAUCAACAUAUCCUCCUAAAGCUACGUGAGCGUCUGAUGUAAUUGCAGAUAAAAAUAUAAAAGGUAAAAUGAUUGUGCUUUUUCCAUACUCGUUUGCUGUCAUGUUGUUUUUACCUUUCGCUUUUGAGAGAAACCCAAGGAAGACAUCAGUAGAUAACUUGAAUGAUAACACAGAAAAUACGCAAGUAACAGAAGAAGAACGCAAACAAGACCGUAAAAAAGCUUUGAGGAGAGCUGCAUAUCGGCAGAGAAAAGAUCGGAAUCUCCAAGAUGAACAUGCACAGGCCCUUAUUUUAUCUGGUAACCUCUAAAGGUUUUGACCAUUAUAUUCAGUACCCGACUUCAUGUCUUAAUGAUUAAGUUUUCCACAUGUUUUCAUCAAUUUGUUUAACCAGCCAACCCAACUAGCUCCAACUAUACAUCAUUCUCGUUUGAUGCGACGGCAUUUCAUGCUACAACUACUGUCACAUCUGGUCUCAUUAAUGACAUGGAGGUACAAGGUAAUCGAUUUGUGCGUACUCCAUCAUCAAUUGCUAUCAUUGUUAUGUUUUAUUGUCUAAUGUCCUGAUCGAUAUCAGAUGUGGUCUUGAAUAACACCCAAGAAACAAAGCAAAAAACCGACGAAGAACUCAAGAGAGAUCGUAGAAACGCCCUGCGGAGAGCUGCUUAUAGGAGGAAAAAGGAUAAGCUUAUCCAUGAUGAAAACAUACGUCCACUUUUGUUAUCAGGUAAAACAUGAUCUAUAUUUUCACCAUGACUUACAUAUCUUGUUUUGCUGCUCAUAGCUAAAUAUUCUUAUAGCCACCAUCAUGCUCGAUGCGUACAGUUUAAUGCUGCAUAUUAAUGCACCAUCAUGGUUUUUUUCCUAUAGACGUCUUAAAUAAUAUUGGUUCUAACUAUGUUUUAAAAUCAUUACGAAACCAGCCAACCCUAAUAGCUCCAGCUAUAUAGAAUUCGAGGGUGACGCAGCAACAUUUCCCCAUUCAACAUUAGACGCGUCUGUUGUCACUCAUGACAAUGAUCUAGCUAGGAGGCAACGUGAUAAUGAGCAGAAAAGAAAUUUAACAAACGCGCAAAGGGAGCAAAUAAACGCACAGAGGCGUGCAGAUUAUCAGCGAAAUAAGGACAAGGUAUCUGUUGAUGUCAGAGAAAUAGUGAAUGAAAAAGUACGAGAGAAGCGAAUGCAACAUCGCAAAAGCAUGUCAGUGAUUGAGAAGGGGGAGUCAAGUGCUCAGAGGAAGGCCAAUUAUGCCAGAAGAAAAAACACCCCAUGCAACGAAUCCAUCGCGCUCCCACGUCCAGACCUAGCAAACUCAACCUCUGAAUGUCCCACUUUAAUCUGCCGCGCAUCAUCCGUCUCUCGGGUCGCCGAAGAUGAUUCAUCUGAUGGCGACCCUCCGACGAACAAGAUGAAUUACAUUGUUGGUAUCGAAGGUAUGAAAUUGCUAAUGUCACUUUCUUCUGCUCAUUAUCAGCAACCAUCUUCUAACAUGAUGUUAUCUACUGUGACAUUCGCAACGACGAAUGUCCAGAGGACAUCGAAUUUUUACAAAGCGGCAUCGUGGGCGAUGAGCCGACAGCAGCCGAAUUGAUGGAUGAGGAGUACUACAUGUUUCGCAACGAAGAUAUGGUCAGAUAUGAAGUAGGACGGCGUGCAUCUAUAUUGUAGUUAAUUUUUUUUUGUAAUUUUUGUUUUGAACGUUAUGUUUCAACAAAUGCUCGUAGGGUCCGAUCAUGACAACAUGGAUGAUGACGAGGAAGGGAGCAUGUCGUCUGCUAUACCUAGCGAGGUUGAUCCAUUAGAAUUUGUUUACACAAACAUCCCCGACACCACUCACAUCCUGAAGCUCGACGCAAACUGCAAACACUGCAAGGCCAAAAAGUUUGUCUCUGAGACCGACGGGUUCUGCUGUCACAAUGGCCAGAUCGAACUUAAACAACCGGAGCCAAUCCCAGAGCUGAUGAGGCUAUGGUCAAGCAUGGAUGCAGAUUCUAGACAUUUUCGGGAGAACAUACGGUUCUUCAACGGGCAUUUCGCCUUCACAACCCUUGGCGUCAGCCUUGAUGAGAACUACACAAACAUGAAGUCUGGGGUGUACACAUUCCGUGCGCACGGCUCCAUCUGCCACAAUGUGCAUUCGUUCGGGCCUAGCUCCCGUCCAGAACAUCUGCAGUUGUACUUCAAUGAUGACGACCCAACCAUAACUCAUCGUAAGGUGGCCACCAAGCAAUUAGACCAGGAUGUCGUGAAGAAGUUAGUAGACAUACUCAAAGAAAACCCGUACUCCCAGCAAUUUAGGAGUUUGGGUGCACACAAGGACAACCUCGAUGAUUAUAGGAUAGACCUAAACACCGAUAAGAGGCUUGACCAAAGAAGAUAUAAUAGACCGUUGUCAUCUGAGGUCGCUGCAAUUUGGGUUGAGGGCAACGACCUAGCAAAAAGGUUUGACCGGAGGAUAACACUUUGUGGUAACAACAACGAAAGGCAUAGUAUACGUGUGACCUCCGGAGCAUAUGACCCGUUGUCUUAUCCCCUAUUCUAUCCAAGGGGGGAGCUAGGUUGGCAUCCAAAGCUACUUAAACGUAAUGUAACGGAGGAGGUUGUACUACAUUCUCAACUGGUGCAUGAUGAUGAUGAGGAUGCAGGUAUGCCGUCUGCGUCCCAUUUUGCUACAAAUAAUAUCUUAUUUCUCGAAUAUAUCCUCAUUUUGAUGGUACUCAAUCAUGUGCAGAGGGCAACAGCAGGUUGUGCGUCUCUAUCAGAGACUACUACUGUUACAUGCUGCAGACACGGCCUGGAAUCUUCAAUCCCAUACUCUGUGGAGCACGCCUCUUGCAGCAAUGGGCGGUCGACAUGUACGUCAAGAUUGAAAGUUGUCGGUUGAGGUGGUACAGGAAAAACCAGACGCAGAUUCGUGCCGACUUGUAUAAAGGAGUUGUUGAUGCAAUCACAUCGGGGGAGACGCGAGCAAGCGCUGUUGGGGUAAGAAUAGUGCUCCCUGGAACAUACCCUGGUGGCGACCGCGACAUGAAGAAGAGGCAUAUGGAUGCCAUGGCAAUUGUCCAUACAUACGGGAAGCCUGACAUCUUCUUGACCAUGACUUGCAAUCCUAAAUGGGAGGAGAUAACGAAUGAGUUGCUGCCUGGUCAGACGGUGCAAGACCGACCUGAUAUUGUGGCUCGCGUGUUCUACGGCAAGCUAGAGGCUAUGAAGGACAUGUUGUUCAAGAAGCAUAUCCUGGGUGUUGUUGUCGCAUAUGUAUACGUAGUCGAGUUCCAAAAAAGGGGCCUCCCCCACGCACAUUUUUUGUUGAUUUUGGACUCUAAAUAUAAGCUUAUCGUCCCGGAGCAGUAUGACCGACUCAUUUCCGCAGAGCUCCCAGACAAGCAUAAGUAUCCGGAAUUGUAUGCUAUGGUGGUAAAACAUAUGAUGCACGGACCAUGCGGUGCUCUCAACCCGAAGAAUGUUUGCAUGCAAGAAAACAGAUGCAAGUGCAGAUACCCACGGCCGUUCAAUGAAAACACAUCACAGGGGAAGGACUCGUACCCAAUUUAUCGGCGUAGAGACGAUGGAAGGCGUGCUAAGGUCCGAGGGAAGAUGUUGGACAACAGAUGGGUUGUGCCUUAUAACCCAUACCUGCUGCGGAUGUUCAAUUGCCACAUCAACGUUGAGGUCUGCUCCAGCAUAAAGGCCGUCAAAUAUCUUUACAAGUACAUUUACAAGGGCCAUGAUAAGGCUUCUUUCAACAUCGACCAUCCCGACGCCGGUGGUAACAUUGAUGAGAUCAAGAGAUACGUUGAUGCAAGGUGGAUCGCCCCUCCGGAGGCUAUGUGGAGGAUAUUUGGCUUUCCACUUUGCGCCAAUUACCCACCUGUCUUGCAGUUGCCUCUUCAUCUCCCGAAUAUGCACAGGGUCGCAUUCAAUGCGCAGGCUGACUUGAAGAAUGUUGUCGCCUCCGAAAAUAAUUCAAAAUCCAUGUUAACGGAGUAUUUCAAGGCUAACCAGGAACACCCUCGGGCUAGGCAUAUAUUGUACAAGGAUUUUCCCGGAAGCUUCACGUGGCAGAAGAAAAAGAAGUUUUGGAAGCCGCGGGUCGAGCGUUUUCAAAUAGGUCGCAUCGUGUCUGCCAAUCCUGCCGAGGGUGACCGAUACUACCUGCGUGUGUUGCUAAACCAUGUUACGGGCAAAACAUCCUUCGACGACUUGCUCACCGUGGACGGCGUUCUAUGUGGGAGCUUUAGAGAAGCUGCUGAAAGGUUGGGACUCAUCGAGGCAGACAACACGCUCGACAACUGUCUUACUGAGGCUGAGCAGUGGGCGAUGCCAUGUUCUCUUAGGAGGCUCUUCGCAACCAUCUUGGUGCACUGCGAGCCAAGCGACGUGCGUGGUUUAUGGGAUAGGCACCUCGAUCCUAUGUCAGAUGACUCUCGUCGAUCACGCACGUCCCCUAUCGAGGUGGAGCAGAUGGUGUUGCUUGACAUUAGGGGUAUGUUGCAGUCCAUGGGUAAAGACAUUGUUGAUUUCGCUCUUCCAAGCAUAGAUGAUGCGUUUGACCCAACCGAGGGUGAGGCAAGAGAGGUCAUCGAGGAAUCAACUGUUGAGUUUGACGUGGAUGAUACUAAAUUGGCAUCUUCCCUAAACUUGGAGCAGAGGGCCGCAUAUGACGAGAUACUAGCGGCUGUUGAACGCGGUGAUGGGGGUGUAUUCUUUGUUGAUGGCCCUGGAGGUACAGGGAAGACCUUUCUAUACAGGGUGAUGCUUGCCAAGGUGAAGAGCGAUGGCAAUAUUGGUAUCGCUACCGCGACGUCGGGCGUCGCCGCUUCUAUCAUGCCUGGCGGCAGGACUGCCCACUCGAGGUUCAAGAUCCCAUUGAGUUGCGAUGAUGGAGCCUCGUGCAGCUUCACGAAGCAGAGUGGGACCGCCAAGCUGCUUAGGAUGGCCUCAUUGAUAAUAUGGGAUGAGGCCAGCAUGACGAAACGACAAGCGGUCGAGGCAUUGGACAAUAGCAUGCGCGACAUCAUGGGAAUACGCGACCGACCCUUUGGAGGAAAGACUGUUGUUUUUGGCGGGGACUUUAGGCAGGUGCUUCCGGUCGUCAGAAGGGGGUCGCGGGGCCAGAUAAUUGAUGCAACCCUACGAAGUUCUCAUCUAUGGAAGGGUAUGCGGCAGCUUCGGCUCAUCACCAACAUGAGGGCUCAUAAUGACACGUGGUUUGCAAAUUACUUGCUAAGGGUCGGCAAUGGCACUGAGGAAGUCGACGAUCAAGGCAACAUACUACUCCCUGAAGACAUUUGUCUGCCGUCUACAGGCGAGGUUGACGACCUGGAGAAGCUUAUUCACCACGUGUUUUCGAGUCUAGAUGACAACAUGUCUGAUUCAAAUUACAUGACAUCCCGAGCAAUCCUUUCCAUGACAAACGACAAUGUCGACAAGAUAAACAUCCGCAUGAUAGAGCGUUUUCAGGGAGAUGAAGUAAUAUACCAUAGCUUUGACAGUGCGGAGGACGACCCAUAUGGCUACUACGCUCAGGAGUUUCUGAAUGGAUUGACUCCUAACGGUCUUCCUCCGCAUGCACUCAAGCUAAAGUUGAACUGCCCUGUCAUACUUCUAAGGAACAUUGAUCCAGCAAAUGGAUUGUGUAACGGCACUAGGCUUGUUGUUAGAGGUUUUGAGAGGAACACCAUUGAUGCAGAAAUCGUGAUUGGACAACACGCUGGCAGGAGGGUCUUCCUUCCUCGAAUACCUCUCUGCCCAUCUGAAAACGACAUGUUUCCGUUCAAGUUUAAGAGGAAGCAAUUUCCUAUAAGGCUUAGCUUUGCUAUGACCAUUAACAAGGCUCAAGGGCAGACAGUCCCGAUUGUUGGUGUCUACCUACCCAAUCCCGUGUUCUCUCAUGGUCAACUCUAUGUUGCUUUGUCUCGAGCCACCGCAAAGAGAAACAUAAAGAUACUCAUUCAGAAGGAGAAGCCGAAGGAGAAGUCCAACAAGCAAAAGGACAAUCCAAAGAAGCGAAAAACACCGACCGUGUCAUUACUAACCUCGAUGAAGAACAUCGUCUACAAGGAAGUCCUUACAGGCUGAAGUCCGGUCUUAAUAGACCGGCAGGUUAUGUAAUGACACAACAUUUACUCUUGUGAUGGUCAAGAUUUAUUUUAAUUCGUUUUUUUACAUAUAUCUUUUUUAUUUGGUAUUUUGAUAGUUGGAGGUAUACUCCAUUUAGUUGAGCUACUAACUGCAUUUCAAUAAUCAGCCGUCAUGUUGGCACCAUCAUCGUUGUUAUAUCUUUUCUACUAUCGCAAUGUUUCUGGGAGUGUACAUGUCACCCACCGUAGUAUUUCAUGUGUAAUAUGUGAUUCAGAUAUAAUGAUUGGCCUGAAAAAUACCUGGAACAUGCAAUGAAACUUUUGUGUUACGGCAAGUGAUCAUAUCCAUUGUUAUUAUUUUGAUAUUUUGAUAAUAUGGUUGAAUGUAAAUUUAUUGGCGUCCUUAUUAUCCCUGUAUUAUUCUGAUAGGUCAGAAGUAUAUGAUUAUGAUUGGUCUGAAUUAUAAGACCAACACACGCAGAAGGGAAGUUUGUGUAGCUUUUCAAGAUAUAUUUUGCAUAUGUACAUCUAAUAAAUAAUAAAAUGGUAGCAUGCGUACUUGCAAAUAUGUUCAAAUGCCCGUGCGACUCUGGAGAAUGUGACAAUGCACGUGUCUGAUCGCUAAAGUGUGCAAUCUUUGGAAAAAAGAUUGAUUACUUGUACUUUCACGCGUCUGAACUAAUUAUUUAUCAGUUCAGUUCAAGUUUCAUUUUUAUUUUUUGCAUUGGUUCAUGUACCUUCAUGAGUUUACUGCGGAUCUGAAAGAGUUCUAACCUAUAAAAUUGUACAAGGCUGCAUUAAUCUAGGACCUGGCGAGGAUUGGUUCAGAGAGCAAGCAUCGUUCUGCAGUAUCUUAAGGACGCUGGUUGGGCUGAGGGUGGUCGACUUAUAGGUUGCACCCAGCCAAGACGAUUGGCUGUGCAGGUAUCAACUGUUUAAAUGUUCAUCAAAAUGUGUAUCCUUCUCUAGAUGCCAUAUAAUACUAGGUUUCUCUUUUUACCUUCUGAUCAGAGCAUGCACCAGAUUAUUCUUUUGGGUACGUCCCUAGCAACUAGCAUGGCGAGUAAGGAUCUUAGCUAAUUAUCUAGAGCAAGCUUCUGUAUUACUUAUGGAUAUUCUGGUGCAACAUGAAUCAAACCCGGGCAACAUGAAUCUAAGAAAUAAAUUAUUAGAGAUAGAUAACUCCUAAAAGAUAAGCUUGGAGGACUUUCGCAGAGCUCCCAGCCACGAAGAUUUAUCCAGCUUCCCCUUUGUGACCUAGCCGUUUGUGACAGGGUUGCCAUGUGGUAGUGGCCAUAGUGCCCAAAAGUGUGUCUGUAACAGGAGACUUCAUCCUGCAAAAUUAUUCAUGUGCUCCGGCAGUGAUUUCUGACAUCCUAUACGGAGCAGUCAGCUGAUAGAACCAUAUCUGUACUAAUUAGAAGAUGGUAGCUGAACAUUUUGUUUACUGCAUUGGUAUUACUAAUUUCCAUAUGUUUGAAUUUUUUUACAAGGUAGGGGUUGCGUUCUAUUUUACAUUUGUUGUCAAUGUAUUUUUUAUGUAAUACUAUGUCACUACUAUAUAACACUGAUUUUUAGCGUAGAUAUCCAUGAAGCCAGCCUCAUGACACUUGACGAAACACGUGCGUACGUCAAUGGUGUUGUUCAAGCUAGGAACAAUGGAGGCUAGAAGUAUCUGUGUACACAAGUGCACAAUUUGUCUUAGAUAUAAAAAUGUAUGAACGCUUUGCAUGCAACAUUUUGUUGCCAAUUGUCACAUUAUGAAGUGUUCGCUUAUGUCUUGGAGGUUUAAUAAUAUGUGAUAUUCAAUAAAAAAAUCUAUUUAACAGUGUCGUCAUAUUUCGGAGCCAUAUACUGUGAAGUUCAGAACUAUAUAUUUGACUAAUAUAUAUUUGAUGACCAAACUGUCAAUAAUGGACUUCAAAUGGUAACCUGUCUACUCUCAUUUGAGCUACACGUAUGAAUCUCUUUCAGUGUAGGUUCAAAUUUUUUAAUAUACAGUGCAGCGCAAAAAGGAAAAUACGUUUACCUUGACAGAUGCUAUCGCAUGCUAUCAUGCAUUAUGACAUUCCAAAGAUAAUAUAAUUAAUUUUGUACAUGGAAUCAAGGAUUGCCGUAUGCCCGUGCGUUGUGUUUCUUUCUACACACGGAAACAAUAGUUCUUCAAGUGGCGCGGGCUUUUUGAUCGUGGUGAGGAGGACAAAAACAGAAGAAGAAAAAACGUUGUGUUUCUUUAUAUUUCUCGGACGCCCGUGUUUGACGUAUAUUUGGGAAAUAAAUUAAUUGUUUCUUUCUAUAUAUCUGGAGGCAAAGUUUGGAAAGGAGACAUAAAUUAGGAAAUAUAUAAUCCGGCGUUGAUACAUUUGCCGGGUGGAGCAUGCAACCAAAAUAAUUUUAUUCCAUGUUUUCCUAUAGUUUUUGUUAUGGAAUAUUGUAACUACGGAAGGAUAUGGGCCACCUUCCGAGUACAUGCCCACGAUUCCUCCCGGCCAGGAUAUGUCAAUUAGAACUAUAAUUAUCCUUAAAGUCAUUUCCUUCCAAAACGUUAUAGUGUCCAAUCUCCCGGUCCAGCCUACCAUACGUUCAAUGGGUUUCCCAGUGUGGCCAUUAAUAUUCCCUUAAUCGGAUUUGUUUAUAAGGAAAGUUAAAUUAUGCUUCUUCCGAUCGGGAAAGGGAGACAUAUAUAAUAGAUAUAUAAUCCGGCGUAUAUUUAUUUGCCCAGUGGAGUAUGGAAGAAAAACAUAUGCUUGUCCUUUUAUUAGCAAGGAUUUGUAAUGAAACAUGCACGGAUGGAAUGAUAAGGGGCACCUUCCAAUCCAUACAACAUGCUAAUGCGUCACCGACCUGGUGCCGGACGAUUCCCCUCCGACACUCAUAUAUAUGGUCCGGCUGUGAGUCCACCGUUGUCCACUGCCCCCUCGCUCGCUCGUCCUGGUGCUAAGACGACUUUCUGCCCGUGCCAAUGGCUGCAAUGCCGAUUUUUGAUGGAGUGAACGACGCAGUCGAGUACAUAUACAACUACGUCAUGCUUUCCUCAGUCGAGGAGCAGUUAGAGUUUGUUCUGGCAGCCCUAAACUCUAUCUAUAAUUUAUUUGCAAUUGUUAGCUGCAGAUCAGUACCAUUAUAUUAUGCAUUAUCGGCUUCUUAUUUUAAACCCGAGUAAAAAUCUGUUCUUUCACCUAAUCCACGUCGAUGGGUUGGUCACGUUCAUGAGUUGUUGCAUGCAUGCACUGGUUAGGAUCAUGCGAUCCUUUCUAAGUCCAUAAGGUUCUUAAGAUCUAACGUAGUGGUUGCAAAAAUCUGGUCAUGCGCUAAUAUUAUCCUUUUACAUUACGCCAUGUUAGUACCAUCCACAGCACGUUAUUUUAAACUACAAAUUUUCUAUGAACUGUAGUAUAUUGCAACGGGUCCUGGUGCAUGAUACAUGUACCAUCUAUAGAUUUUAUCAUAACUGUAAUAGGAACAAGUUGCAACCGAACAUAUCAUAAUAGAUUUGGUUAUCUUACGAAAUAGUACUUAUGUCCUCAAAUGACACUACAACUCCAAUUUUUAGGUACAUACAUUUCAGACCUUUCUAAAGUUUUGAAAAAAUAUACUAUUGUUUGCCCACACAUUGAAGUACAAUAUUUUUAUGAUACCCUGAUUUUAUCAUGCCGGUUUGUUUGCAGCACAAUAUGGAUAAGGAGCCCUCGUCCAUUCGUGAUCGAGUUAAGUCUACGGACUAUCCAAGACACCAUGCGAGGUGAUACAUGGGUCAAUCCGAGCUGCUUCGAUCUUGCAGUGCGUAAGCUUAGUAGCGACGCGAUACAAAGGAACGCAGGAACAGACUUUGUUGGCUCCACGCAUAUGUUUGAUUUGCAAUUCCAUGGCCUAGCACGGGUGCUGAGUCAGACUGGCUUAUGCCAAGCUGAACGCACCAACUUGUUGAUUAACAAUGUCAUUGUACGGCCUUUGCCGAAAUACAACGUGCUCAUGACCCCGUCCAUUGUAAGGAUUUUCCUUCUUAAAAGUUGGUGUGUAUACUAUCUGUUCACCAUUAACUUUGUAUACCUAUUGCAGUACCUAUUGCCGUUGUAUUUGGUGGAUUCCUCCUACGGCCUCCUUGCAGUUAAUAUUGAAAAUAGGAGGACUCUCCUGAUUGAUCAUUCUAACGAGUCAUUCCUAGGCUCAGAGGACUUUCAUGACAAGGAACUUAAGAAGGAAGCCCUGAUAGUUCUGAAAGAAUUUGGCAGUGUAUUGCAACAGGAGAGGCCUGGUUUGAAUCCCCAACUCGUGGAUUGGCCACAAGAUCAUACCUAUAUUACAGCCCCGCGGUAAUAGUUUUAAUUGGUCAUGCACAAUACAGCCUCACUGGUAUAGGUUCUAACAUAUGGAGUUUUUUUGUCACAGCCUGGACUCUGGAUUCAAACUCCUACAGGAGAUGGCUCACCAAGAUGAUACUCUCGGGCAUAACAUUUCCAGGACUUCGGUAGGUGCAUAUAUAACAAGUUUCUCUCUUCCAUAUCAUUGUUGAAUAUAAAUUUAUGUUCUUCCACUCACAUAGGUUUGUUGUGCAAUUCAUUCUUCAACAAUUUAUUCCCUACAUAUAUAUAUAUAACAAUUCAUUUUUUUUAUGUUUUCUAGGAUUCAAUACAGCUCAGAAAGAACUUGCUGGUCCAGAUGCUGACGAUCAAAGGCAAUGAAGCAGCUGGAAACAUCCCAGCUGAAAUUACAGCGGCCUUGAGGUUUUUGGACGAAUGACUAUGGACUGAUGCAUAUUGAAAUGUCGCAGAUAUAAUAAGCCAAUAGAGCUUUGUUAGGGAUCAAAUAUCAGAUUUAUCCUUUUGGCAAUAUGAAUAAUGUAUUGGAUUAUAUAUAUGUAGGGAAUAAAUGCUUCGAUGGCACCCUCUAGCUUCGUAUUCGCUUCAACGUUGUCUGCUUGUUUUGGUUCUAUCUAUAUAAUUUGGCUUGUAUGUAUAUUUUGUACUAUAAUACCUGUGCGGUCAGGAGCAGGUUUGUUGCUCCCGGUGAACCGGAGGCAUUUUGAAGGUAAUAAUCUUUUUGAAUGCCCGUGCUGAUCAGAUGAUCAGAUGACAUUUUCUGAAAUAUUUUUAAAGUUUAAAGAGUGAUUGAUGGUGGCAUCCACUAGCUAUGUUGGUUGUAUAUCUAUCUUUCCUUCUAUCUAAAUUUUAUGGUUGUAGACCAGACAGUUUGGACCAGGUUUGCUCCAGGUGAACCUAAGUACUUUUGUGUUGGACCAUGGCAGGUUCACAACAUACUCAAAGUCCGGCAGGUGAUGUUUUCAGAAAUUCCGUGCCUCGCAUCAUAUACUACCUCGUAUAGUAUAACUCCAUCCUAUACGAGGUUUUCUUCAUCGGAAAUAAUCAGCUAGAGAAUAGUCAACAAACAUAUGACGGUCAUACAGGCACCAUAUACUACCUCGUAUAGUAUAACUCCAUCCAUACACGCACUGUUAUAAUACGAGGUUUUCUUCGUCCGAAAUAAUCACAUUCCAGCUAGAGAAUAGUCAAUAAACAUAUGACGGUCAUACGGCACGUACCUUGCAUAUAUUCUUAAAUUUUGAAGUUGUCCUUGAUCUUGCUCUCUCGCCGUUGCCUUUAAUUCCAGCUAGCGAAUAAACGCUGAUUAUCUUUUAUGUGCUCCUGAAUAGAGUAACAAAAAUGAGAAGGAAUAGUUUUUCUUAUUGAUCAGUACCUACAGUAAACAAGUAAAACCACGGUAACAGUAGAUAUGUUAGUGUGCAGGCUGUGAAUUUUAAUGAGUUGCAUACAAAUCAAUGAUAACUUCAUAAUUUAAUGAGUUACAUACACCGCGGGUGCCUUGGUGUAAAAUACGUCCUCAAACCCGUUGCAAGUUGUGAGCAAGUUAGCUAAAUUCCUCAGCGUGCCACUGACUGAAGAGGAGGAUAGAGCUCUGGUGUUGCUAAAGAGGUGGUGAGACUCUCCAGUUUUGAGACACUUACCAGCCUAUAAGUUAACCAGGUUGGGGCCGUUAGCCACGGAAACAAAGUUUAAUUUGGUAAUUCCUGGUUUAUAGGAAAUCAGGAGUAGGGGACUGGGUGAACCACAUGAGCCGCGAGAUGGGCGAGAAGUUAGACUGCAUCAGCCAACAGAAGCUUCAGUGGUUUGGGCUUGUGCUUCAAGUCAAUUUUGUUAUCUGUUCUGCUAUCAAUAUCCAUAAGCACAUUACAGAAUGUUCCCUACUUAUAUCUUACUCAGUCUACUGUAUAAUGUUGUCAAAAAUCUGAUCCCAGUGUUGUGCAACAAGAUUACGAGUGUGUGCAUUUUAUCUGAUACCUGUGUCAACUGUACACCAUAAGCAAGCUGGCAUUUGAAAACUACGGUCUUUUGUAAAGAAAACAAAUUAAGUAACCAUUUGAUCUCAACACAUUUUGCCCGUACACUUUUGCAGGAUCUUCAGCAAGUAGGGGUGAUGAAAAUUAGAUAAAAAAUGUUUUGUUUAGGUUUGGCCCCCUCAGACUUGUCCAUCAACAUUCUAAAACCAUCAACCUUGGGGGUCUUAUCUGAGGUUAAGUGAUUUCAAAGAUGACAGUGGCCUUGUAUUUGACUCAGGCCGGGCUAAGUGGUUUCAAAGGGAACCUGGUGGGCUGGUUGCUGUUGUACUCACAAUAUCACAGACCCCCACACAUAUAUAAUCCCAGGCUUGCAUAUCCGGUGCAGUGAUUGUUCGACAUAAACUUGCGAGUACAGGAACCUACUACUACUAAGGUACUAUACUAAUCAAGUCACAUUUUGUUCAAUUUGCUACCAUGUAGUUGUGUAGAGGAUGUACCUGGCUGGGCAAAGUCGCUCGAGUCUGCUCUGUCUCACCAUCAAAAAUCACCACCGUGGCCGUGUCUUGGCCGUCGGGGAUACGUCUUCGCCCUGGCCCUUCCUGUGAGGCCGGGUCACGGCUCCUCGAUACAUCAGUGAGGAGGAUAUCAGGUCAUGGAAGCAAAAAGGAAGAAUUUUCUUCAAGUUGCUACCAUGUAGAGGAUGUACCUAGCUGGGCAAAUUCGCAGGAGUCUGCUCUGUCACAGAUGGGCUGCAGCAGUUCCACGCCCCCUUGUGACCUACGGCCGCUCGUACUCAGUCGAUGUCGACCUUGCAAAAGAUCGAUGAUGCAUUAGGUGCAUUUGUGUUUUGAUUGUGCAAACAACAAAAUCCGAAGGCUGUUAAUUGCCAUCUUUCAGAAACAAAACAUUUAAGAUUGUUUGUUUGUUAAUUUAACUUGAUUUAUAGUACAUGUUGAACUAAUUAAAUACACAUAAAAUAUAUAGAAAGUUCAUGUUUACCUCUUCAAAUUGAACAAUAUUAAAAAAAGAAUAAAUAUUUAAAUAGACAAAUAAGAUAUUUCGUUUUUAUAUGGGAAGAUUUUAGAAGAACAAACAAGUAACUUAGUGGCAUGCAAUCAAUGAUAAGUUGUUUAUUUAAUUAAUACAACAAUUUAAUUAUUUAGUAAGUUCUGAUUUCUGACAUAUUUUCUAAUUUAUUAAGAGGUGUGCGUUUCAUGAAAAAAGGAAAGAUAUCUGCACCAUACAUAAGUACAUAUCUGAAAAAGGAAAGAUAUCUGCACCAUACAUAAGAAUAUAUCUGAAAAAGGAAAGAUAUCUGCUACCCAACCUUCCCCUGCAUGGCCUACCUAUAUAUGUUAACCUCAUGUGCCAUCCCUCAUCCCCUCCUUACUCUCCCUUCCCCCAUCACAGAUAUCAAAGGAUCAAAAUACCCAGACUUGGAGGACAAAUUCCCGAGGAGUACCUUCUGUAAGCAAGGGGCAUCAAGAAGGCGAGUUCCUCUAGGUAUGCAAAUUUCUAGAUCUUCCUCUUCUGUAAAAGGGUAACAGUUAUUAUAUUAGGAUCAUGUUUGGUCAGGCAUACCAUCAAAUUCCGAAAAAAACACCAGUGGAUAUAGUGCCAUCUUAUAAAAAGAUCAUAGCCAAUACAAUUGACUGUAGAUCUAAUCAAGCAGUCCUAUUAGGUGGGCUGCAACUGAAUACAAACAGUUCUUUCAGAUAUUAUAGGCUAAUAGUCUAUUCUGGACAUCGCACGUGUGUCAUACACCUAACUUUUGAAGUCAUGACCAUAGUUGACUGCCUAACUUUUUAAUGAAAUCUCAUAUAUAUAUUCGAGCCAGAAAAACAAACAAAUAACUUAUUAAGUGUUUCAACAUGCCAGAAAACAAACAAAUAUAAUAGGACUGCUUGAAGAUAUAUAUCAUCAGAGUCAUAAUAUUAAGUCAUUACAUGUAAUAGAAAUUGCUUGAGGACAAAAUGCUUCGAUGGAAUAGUCUAAAAUUAUUCACAAUGGAUAUGUAAUACUCUAAUACCAACUAUAUCCCAACCGAAUGAAUCUACAUUAUCACGAUAGAGCAAGUAAUACAAUGAAUAUAACAAAUUGAGGACAAUGUCAAAGCACAGCAUCUGGACAAGCAAGCAAUAAAAGCAAAGUUGGGCAGGAAGAUCUGUUGCUGUAUGAUGCAGUACGUAGAAGGUUGCAUAGUUAAAUUAAAAUAAACUACCACUGGUUUUGAAUAGAAAAACUGUACAGAAGUCAAGGGGAGUGAUUGUAUAUGACAUAAAUAAAAGAAUAUAUAAGGAAUACAGAUUCAGGCAUAAGUUCCAGGUAAGCAUGGUACAAAGUACAGAAAACAAGAUAAUAUGCUGCUCAUAAAAUUAUAUACAAUUUACCUGCUUUCCAAUUCUUUGUGAAUGUUCUCUUUCUCUUGAAGUACUUUUUGAACUCUUUGUACAGCAGCUCUAGCAUUUUCAAUCUCCAUGCGUGCAUUAGUUCGUUCUUC
This 16752-nucleotide long non-coding RNA is filed under the name Triticum aestivum (bread wheat). Its description in RNAcentral is "long non-coding RNA (TAES_LNC004393)". Lineage: Eukaryota; Viridiplantae; Streptophyta; Magnoliopsida; Poales; Poaceae. The record is from RNAcentral.